Pseudanabaena biceps PCC 7429 is the source of this 72-nucleotide non-coding RNA. NCBI's taxonomy places the organism in Bacteria, Bacillati, Cyanobacteriota, Cyanophyceae, Pseudanabaenales, Pseudanabaenaceae. The record is from Rfam.
GCGGGUGUGGCUCAGUGGUAGAGCAUCUCCUUGCCAAGGAGAAUGUCGUGGGUUCGAAUCCCAUCACCCGCU